Molecule: ribosomal RNA, 465 nt
Filed under: uncultured bacterium
Lineage: Bacteria
Description: bacterial SSU rRNA
Rfam family: Bacterial small subunit ribosomal RNA
Source: RNAcentral
GAGUUUGAUCAUGGCUCAGGACAAACGCUGGCGGGGUGCAUGAGACAUGCAAGUCGAACGGGGUUGAGCGGGCUUGCUCGAUCAACCUAGUGGCGGACGGCUGAGUAACGCGUAGGUGACCUACCCGGAAGUGGGGAAUAACUGCCCGAAAGGGUGGCUAAUACCGCAUGUGGUCGGCGAUUCGGUUCGCCGUGCAAAGCCGCAAGGCGCUUCCGGAGGGGCCUGCGUCCGAUUAGCCAGUUGGUGGGGGUAAUGGCUCACCAAGGCGACGAUCGGUAGCUGGUCUGAGAGGAUGAUCAGCCAGACUGGGACUGAGAACGGCCCAGACUCCUACGGGAGGCAGCAGUCGGGAAUUUUGCCCAAUGGACGAAAGUCUGAGGCGGCAACUCCGCGUGAGGGACGAAGGCCUUCGGGUCGUAAACCUCUUUUCUCAGGGAAGAGUACAAGACGGUACCUGAGGAUAAG